Long non-coding RNA from Pteropus alecto (black flying fox), 4537 nucleotides. RefSeq lists it as uncharacterized. The transcript has 2 exons. The record is from RefSeq and is a predicted model, not a curated record. NCBI's taxonomy places the organism in Eukaryota, Metazoa, Chordata, Mammalia, Chiroptera, Pteropodidae.
GGCUGGUAUGUCACAUUCUCCAGCAACUCUACUACUGGUCCCUGUCACUGAGUCCUGAGCACAUCAGGUUAUACAUUGGACUUGGGCAGAAACCUGAAGGAUGAGAGAAUUCAUCUUUUGUCUCUAUUAUAGGUUUCUGGGGGCUUUGAGGCUGGGAUAAAGGAGGAGUGGGGAAACUGAGGCCUGAAAGAAGGCACAUGCCGAGGUCCACAUGGACAUUUGGACCCAGGUCUGAGGCUCACUUCUGCCAUUGCCCUUGCCUCUUUCUUCAAGCCAGUGGAUUUCAGAAUGUAAGCAGUGUGUCAUUCCAUGGGUCUUGUAUGUAGUGGACAUAGUGGAUGGUAGACAGCAUUUAAAAAAUGAAGUAGGAUGGAUAGUCUCAGAGUCUUUCAUACCUGGUGAAGGGAAGACUUGGGUCCCGAAACAGCAGUGCAUGUGUAUGUGUGUUUGCACAUUCACAGUGCCACUUGCUCCGGCUUGUGAUGUGAAAACUAUUAAAGUGUGUGGUGCACAUGCCCUGUGUGGAGGGUCGGUGAUUCACAGCUCCGGCAACUGCUGCCUUCUGGGGACCUGGACUCAGAUGGCCAGAUGUUCUCACUCUUCAAGGCAAGUUCCCAAAGUACAUUUAGAUGUAAAAUCUCCCAGUUUUAAGAAGUGAUUAAAUAAAACUUUUUAACCACAGGUAUGAGCCAACCUCAAAGCCUGUGGCCUUAAGCCUGCCAUGGAAGGCCCACAGCUCAUGCCCUUUUAUCCAUCCCUGCUCCUUACUGGCCCUGGCCCCAAGGACACGUGGCAGAAGCCAGGACUUCUUUCUCAUUGGCCCAGCUGCCUCUGUUCCUUCUGUUUCUCUGGUGUUUAGGAAAACCAGAGCUAGCAAAUCUGUCAGACAUGGUCACUUAAUGGGCAGAGAUCAGUAGGGAAUGGACUUUCAUUUAAGAGGCGGGUUGGGGACACCAGCAAGAGAUGAUGGGUAGCACUUGGCUGGCUGGCAGAGGCCCCAUCAGGCCUACAACAGACUUCCUGGGUCCUGGGUCCUUCCCCUAGGUCUUCAGGUACUUCUGGUGAGACCUUGGGUAAGUGACAUCACCUCCCUGGGUUUCAUCUGCCUCAGCAGAUCCCUACAUUUCUUCCCUCACAGGGCUGCCAUACCAAAAGAAUCAGGACACAUAAAGCUUCCAGCUUAGUGCCCGCUCACCCAGGGCUCUCAGAAAACAAUUUUCCUUCUGAUCUCAUAUCUUACAAAGUUCAGUGCUUCUAGAAUUCUAGCCUUGCAAGGAGUUUGGCAAGGUAUAGUUUGGGAAACUAAUCCUUAUGAGACCAUCACUUCAAUUGCCAGACACAAGAUUGGGGUCCCCAUAACCAUCCUUACUUUGAAAUGCCAGACUCCCAUGUCCUCAGGAUGCAUCAGUCUUCUGUAAUGAGGUUAGUAGCAGUCAGCACAGAGUGUUGCCAACCAGAGAGUCUUUGAUGUCCAGCAUUUUUAUUGGAGCUCAGUAAUAUACUGUCAGUGUGGCUGACCUUUACUGUACUUUCUGGAGGUCUGAACUAAUAUGACAUGUUCCAAAGGCCCCCAUCAUGGUGAGCGGGAGCUCACACUUGUGAUCACAUGUCAGCCUGCAUAUCUUCCACCCUUAGUUGACCAGGGUUUCAAUUGCCAGUUCUAGUUUUCUAUCUAGCUAUUAUCCCAAGGAAGAUCUACCCAUUAUUGGACCCUGUGGGCUGUAAAGGAUGUUCCUUUAGUCUGAAGAAAUGUGAGUUGGCAGUCCAAAUUGGCACACUAUCUCCUGUGCCGGUAACUCUUGACAAUAUUGUGGGCAUUUCCACUAACCACUGGGCUAGGCAUACAAAACUCAGUCCAGACUCAUUCGCAGUGUCCUGGGGCUUUCAUAAUUAGGCCAUUCACCAGCAGUGGGCAGGAACUUUCCCCUGGGGAAUCUGCUCAUGGCCAUCUGUAGUUUUUGUCUCUUAAUUGACAAGACACUUGUUGACAUUUUGUGCUUCAGAGCAGGCAAGAAGAGUAUGUCUAGCUUCAACCAGUUACUGCAUUGCUACUGCCUCCAAAUUUCCACUUGUUUCAUGGACCAGGGUGGCCACCUGCUUGUUAAUUCCAAUCACUUUCUGAUCCUAGAAGGGAGUUCUUUUGAUGGGCAUCAACAUGUCCUAUUUUAAUGCACCCCUCAAAUCCCCCUAGUGAUUUCCAUAGAGCUGGGUCCACAUAGGCAUCCCUUUAGUAGACCAGGUUUUCAUUGCCCUUCUUCCAGACCACACCAUUAGCCAUCACCCAUGAGUCAAUGAAAAACCAAACAUGGGGCAAAUAGCAUGCAAGUCAGCCUACUCUGCCAACUUGUUUUUACUUUCUUCCAUCAGAGGUAGCAUUCCAACAGGAUGCUGUCCAUAUACCUUGAAACUACCAUUCAUAAACCAAACAGCUCUUUUUUGAUCAAGAGCUUUCAUAGGGUAUCACCCAAAUGACUAUAGGAUCUUGCAGCUCCUCAGGUAGAACCUCAGAUGAUUCCAAAGUCAGCCAUAGGGGAGAAAUCUUUUUGUUUGUGAUUAUGCCAAGUACCUUAUAGCAUUCCCCUGGUAGCAUCUUCCUGCAAAAACUUUUUUCAUUUUAUUACAGAACUCUUCUGGACACUGCCCUCCCCAUUAGGGUAUUUCCUUAACAUCACCCAAGACAUGGGUAUUUCAGAUUAUUUUACAGCUUUCAGUCAGAAGAGCAGUCCCAGUCAAGGUCCAUGUCUAACGUGUAAUUGUCUCUCAAAUGGAAAAUUUCUGGACCCAAAUCCUAGUGGUCACUCCUGGGUGGCACUCAUAGGCUUUGUCAUAAGCCCCAGUUUGCAGGAGGACUUCAGGCCUUCUUUUGAUCAGUUUCAUGAGUAAGAGCUAGCAGUGUUCCCAGAUAUGGAAUAUGUGUCCUCCAAAACUCAAAUAAACUGACUAGUUGCUAGUUUUCUAACAUGUUUUGUCCACCAGUAUCCAAUAUUGCCUGAAGGAUAAAUUUACAUGUCUUCUGUUUUGCAGGUAAGCAGGGGAAGCGUUCCCUAGUCAGACAUGGUGUCUGUCCUCAUAAUAGAUUCAAGUCAAGGCGGUGCAACCGCUUCACAGAGUCUGUUCAAGCAUUCUAGUGUUCAUCUAAGUGUUCACCUUAAUCCCAUCAGCUAUUAGAGUUCUGUAUCCUCCCAAACUAACUGUAGCCACACUAGGAGAUUACCAGUAGGUUUUAGAAUCACAAUGCAUUGAGAUCCCAUUAAGCAAGUCCCAGGGGUGACACAUGGGCCAGAGAGCAUGUUCACCCACUUACCAAAGCACCAAAGCAGGUCUGGCUACUGAUGCCUCUGAAUGCAACAAAGAUGAACACUGAACCUAAGUACGUCACUGGACACUUGGAAGCAAGGCGACAACUUUGUCUCCCUUCCACCUUGGGGUAGAUGGCCUGUUCACCAAGAAGCACUAUCUGGGGACUUGCAGAGUGUCUGACUCCCCAGCACAGCAUAGGGUUUGGUCAGGGUCCUGCUCCACAGUGAAGGAGCUGAGAAACUGGCUCAGGACCCUGGGACCCACUGGUACUUCACACACCUGCACCAUGUGACCCAGAGGCAACCAGCCUCAUAGGGUGUGGAAAUGGCCUAAAGGUGGAUGGAACAAGGGCUUGAGUGAAACACUACAAAACAAUGGGGUGCCACCCUGUUUAAUGCAGCACAGUAAACCUGACACCUCAUAUGGAACUAUUCCUAAGGAAGGAUAAGCUGUCUGGAAUCCAAGGAAUGGAAAUAGGAAUGGCCCUGCUUGUCGUCACUUUAGUGGCCACUGAGUGGCCAUCGAUUCUCACUUCCAAACAUGUGCCAAGCUGAGGGGCAUGUGAUGCUGUUGGUCUGUGUGCAGGUGGGGGUGUCUGAGCACCACACAGGCACAAAGGCUUGCUUCAUCUAAGUCACUGAGCCACACAAACCAGGGCCCCAUCUGGCAAGCCAACGUCCACAUGCUCCAUUGCUUGCAAGGAUGGCAUAAUAUUUAGAAGAGUUUUGAGACAACAUGUAAACAUUGAGAAUUUUCACAUAAAUUUUUAAGUUUUGAGGUUUUCUGGAAACCCCAGGCUUUCUCUUUUUUUUCCCCAAAGUAAAGUUGUUUUCUUAAAAUAUUUGGUUUCUGCAAAAUAGACCCAGAUCACUGCAAAGCCCUUUUCUUACAGGAAAAGCUGUCCUGUGAUGGGCUGGGAAGCUGAAGGUGAGCAACCUGGCACUGGAGGGGCUGGAAGCCACUGAACUGCAAGUUGGGAGCUGCUGGUGGACAUUUUGCCACUACAGGGGAAACUCUGCCAAAGAAUGAAGCCACACGGACCGAAGCAGUGCUAAAAGAAGAAAAGAGAUAGUCCUGAUGACAGCUCUUAGAAGAUGUUCAGCCUUGUCUGAAUCCGAAUCUACCACCGAGCUCUUCAUUUGCAUGUGCCAAUAUUUUCUACUUCUCCAUUUUUAAUUUAUUUUUUUCCUAAUUUUAUUGAGGCAUAAUUGAUGAUUAAAACUGUAAGAUACUUAAA